This 1190-nucleotide long non-coding RNA is filed under the name Sarcophilus harrisii (Tasmanian devil). RNAcentral's name for it is "lncRNA (ENSSHAG00000023244.1)". Lineage: Eukaryota; Metazoa; Chordata; Mammalia; Dasyuromorphia; Dasyuridae. The record is from RNAcentral.
CUGAGACAAAAAAAACCACUAUAUGAUUUAAAAUUAGCAGUAUGACAGAAAUGGAAACUAGCUCCAAACUUAAAUACCAAGUGGAUACAUUACCUAGAUGCAAAAAUUCACCAGAAACUUGAUUUUUUAAAAUAAUUAAUGUCCCCCAGGAAAAGCUCAUAACCAAACAAGGGGAAGGAUUGUAGAAGAUAAAAAGUAUUUGCAGAAACUUUCAAUAAAGCUAACACUAAAAAGGGAAACAACUGGGGACAUUUAUUGCAAUAUUUCUCUAAUAAAGGUCUCAUGUCUAAAGUAUAAGGAAGUGAUUCGUAUUCAUAAGAUUCAUUCCCCAGUCCAUAAAUAGUUCAAACGUGUCGCAUUCUCGAGGGAAGAAACCCACGCUAUAUGUGACAAGAUGUGAAAUGGUAGUAGCACAGUGUGAUUGGAAGAAAAACUAAAAAUACAAUGGCCAGUAGAUAAAUGACAAAAGAAUAUGGAUUGGGUGAUGUACCUGAAAAAAGUAAUCCAGAGGGAGCAAAAUUGCUGAAUGAUGGUGGCAAAGGAAGGGUUUGGAACCGCACUCUGAAAUCAGGGAGCAAAGAUGAUUGCUCCAGGUCAUUGUGUGGCAAGUAUUAAAGCCAAACAGUAUUAGAAAGGGAUGUGGUUUCUUCUACAGGGAACUAGGUCUCCAUGAUGAAAGGACCUGCUAUGAUGUCUUUAUCACUGUGGUUGGAAGAGUAAAAUGUAAUGGAAGUGUUUUAGUGGGGCUAUCAAGUAUCCUUUGAGUUACAGAGGGCAAUUUAGAAUUUAGAUUAAAGCAUAUAACCACCAAGGAUCAGGAGAUAAAUGGGUUGCUCCAUUUUUCAAAUAGCCAAUAGCACCAUGUAUGAAGCAUUUAUUGCCAUUUUGCAAUUCUGAAAAUAGUGAAUUAUUUUAAGAUGAAAGCAGAAUCCCCCAAGCAUUGCAUCUAGAACAAUCUUAACAGAAGUCUAAUUCAGCAUUGCUUCAGAAUGUGAAUCUCAGAAGAUUGAUAAGACAUUUUAAUGAUUGAUAAUACGUUUCAAGCACUGAGCAAAUGCGUUGUUAGCAUGUCAUGAAAAAAAUCAUGUCUGUGCCCUAAUAGACAACCUGACCUUACCUCUGAGUUGCCCUGUGUUUUUAAACAAUCUGCAGAUAUUUCUACAAUGAAAAUAAAGUAUUUUAUCACAAAA